Electrophorus electricus (electric eel) is the source of this 714-nucleotide long non-coding RNA. The record is from Ensembl. Lineage: Eukaryota; Metazoa; Chordata; Actinopteri; Gymnotiformes; Gymnotidae.
UUCUGAGCGUUGCCCAUGCUGGGAGUAGGAGAGGAAAACAGUAGCUCCAAGGAAGGAAGGACACACAGAGGGAAAACGUGGACAGGACAGAACGGAUUGAUAAACUCCAGAACCAAACGCGGCAUAAAGAGGCCCUGGCCACAGGUUCUAACUCUGACAUGGUGUUGGUAUUAGACCCGCUGCUCAGGGAGAGUGUGUCCUGCCCUUUGCCCAUCUGUGCUGGCUCGCCUCCGUCUGAUGCCCUACCUACGUACAAGGACUGCUCCGACUCCGCGGAGUCCGACCAAAGUGGAGGCUCCUUGCAUUGCGGAUGCCUAAAUUCGAGUGCCCUGGCGCCAUGCCAUGGCUCCUGCGUCUGCUCCACUUUAGUGUCCGACAUAUCUGAGCGAGGCACUUCGCAGAAAUGGGCUGCAGGGGCGGAGCCGGGAGGAGGCUCCUCACCGGGCACAAACUUGGGGGCUGGUGGUAACGCCCACGGGUCCGGCAAAGCUGUUGACCUGCACUCCACCACAACUGCUGUCACAGAGACACAAGACGAGGAGGUAAACGGCACGACCCCAGCAAGCACCCUGAACCUGGAGCCAAAUUGCCCCAGGGGAAGGCCUAAAGGCAGAGCCUUGAAACACCGUGAGGUCACAUUAGGCAUCGACACCUUGCUGUUUCCUCUCAACAAAGAUGCAGGUAAUUUUGAAUAUUGUACAGAAUGGUAGUGAC